RNAcentral lists this ribosomal RNA (497 nucleotides) under uncultured bacterium. RNAcentral describes it as "partial 16S ribosomal RNA". It matches the Rfam family "Bacterial small subunit ribosomal RNA", at positions 28 to 507 of the family's 1533-position model. The record is from RNAcentral.
GAUGAACGCUGGCGGCGUGCCUAAUACAUGCAAGUCGAGCGAACAGACGAGGAGCUUGCUCCUCUGACGUUAGCGGCGGACGGGUGAGUAACACGUGGAUAACCUACCUAUAAGACUGGGAUAACUUCGGGAAACCGGAGCUAAUACCGGAUAAUAUAUUGAACCGCAUGGUUCAAUAGUGAAAGACGGUUUUGCUGUCACUUAUAGAUGGAUCCGCGCCGCAUUAACUAGUUGGUAAGGUAACGGCUUACCAAGGCAACGAUGCGUAGCCGACCCGAGAGGGUGAUCGGCCACACUGGAACUGAGACACGGUCCAGACUCCUACGGGAGGCAGCAGUAGGGAAUCUUCCGCAAUGGGCGAAAGCUUGACGGAGCAACGCCGCGUGAGUGAUGAAGGUCUUCGGAUCGUAAAACUCUGUUAUUAGGGAAGAACAAAUGUGUAAGUAACUAUGCACGUCUUGACGGUACCUAAUCAGAAAGCCACGGCUAACUACGUG